This 492-nucleotide ribosomal RNA is filed under the name uncultured bacterium. RNAcentral's name for it is "partial 16S ribosomal RNA". It matches the Rfam family "Bacterial small subunit ribosomal RNA", at positions 29 to 507 of the family's 1533-position model. The record is from RNAcentral.
AAUGAACGCUGGCGGCAGGCCUAACACAUGCAAGUCGAACGGCAGCAUCGUAACUGCUUGCUCAUACGGGUGUCGCGCGGCGGACCGUGCCCGUAUAUAUGGGAUACCUCUUUUUCGUGGGUGCUAACACAGGCAAACUUACGCUAACACCGCAUAUGUCGCCCGUGUGUGAGCCCGGGAUCUUUUGACUUUUUGGUAGUGUAUGAGCCUAGGUCGGAUUAGCUAGUUAGCGGGGUAGAGGGCUACCAAGGCGACGAUCCGUAGCUGGUCCGAGCGGGUGAACAGCCACACUGGAACUGAGACACGGUCCAGACUCCUAGGGGAGGCAGCAGUGGGGAAUAUUAGGCAAUGGGGGAAAGCCUGAUCCAGCAAUACCGCGUGAGUGAUGAAGGACUUCGGAUUGUAAAGCGCUGUAGGUGGGAGGGAAGUAAAGCAGGUUAAUACCGGGCGGUAAUGACGGUACCAACAGAAUAAGCACCGGCUAACUUCGUG